Molecule: unclassified non-coding RNA, 82 nt
Filed under: Pseudomonas moraviensis
Lineage: Bacteria; Pseudomonadati; Pseudomonadota; Gammaproteobacteria; Pseudomonadales; Pseudomonadaceae
Source: RNAcentral
UCAAAAGAUCGCAGCCUUCGGCAGCUCCUACGGUUGCACUGUAUUUCAAAUGCAGGAGCUGCCGAAGGCUGCGAUCUCUUAU